RNAcentral lists this ribosomal RNA (505 nucleotides) under uncultured bacterium. Its description in RNAcentral is "partial 16S ribosomal RNA". It matches the Rfam family "Bacterial small subunit ribosomal RNA", at positions 28 to 507 of the family's 1533-position model. The record is from RNAcentral.
GACGAACGCUGGCGGCGUGCCUAAUACAUGCAAGUAGAACGCACAGUUUAUACCGUAGCUUGCUACACCAUAGACUGUGAGUUGCGAACGGGUGAGUAACGCGUAGGUAACCUGCCUGGUAGCGGGGGAUAACUAUUGGAAACGAUAGCUAAUACCGCAUAAUAUUAAUUAUUGCAGGAUAAUUAAUUGAAAGGUGCAAUUGCACCACUACCAGCUGGACCUGCGUUGUAUUAGCUAGUAGGUGAGGUAACGGCUCACCUAGGCGACGAUACAUAGCCGACCUGGGAGGGUGAACGGCCACACUGGGACUGGGGCACGGCCCAGACUCCUACGGGAGGCAGCAGUAGGGAAUCUUCGGCAAUGGACGAAAGUCUGACCGAGCAACGCCGCGUGAGUGAAGAAGGUUUUCGGAUCGUAAAGCUCUGUUGUAAGGGAAGAACGGGUGUGAGGGUGGAAAGUUCACACUGUGACGGUAUCUUAACAGAAAGGGACGGCUAACUACGUG